This 467-nucleotide ribosomal RNA is filed under the name uncultured bacterium. RNAcentral's name for it is "partial 16S ribosomal RNA". It matches the Rfam family "Bacterial small subunit ribosomal RNA", at positions 28 to 507 of the family's 1533-position model. The record is from RNAcentral.
GACGAACGCUGGCGGCGUGCUUAACACAUGCAAGUCGAACGGAAAGGCCCUGCUUUUGUGGGGUGCUCGAGUGGCGAACGGGUGAGUAACACGUGAGUAACCUGCCCUUGACUUUGGGAUAACUUCAGGAAACUGGGGCUAAUACCGGAUAGGAGCUCCUGCUGCAUGGUGGGGGUUGGAAAGUUUCGGCGGUUGGGGCUGGACUCGCGGCUUAUCAGCUUGUUGGUGGGGUAGUGGCUUACCAAGGCUUUGACGGGUAGCCUGCCUGAGAGGGUGACCGGCCACAUAGGGACACGGAUACGGCCCGGACGCAAACGGCAGGAAUCGGUGGGAAUAUUGCACAAUGGGCGGAAGCCUGAUGCAGCAACGCCGCGUGCGGGAUGACGGCCUUCGGGUUGUAAACCGCUUUCGCCUGUGACGAAGCGUGCGUGACGGUAAUGGGUAAAGAAGCACCGGCUAACUACGUG